UACGUAGGGUGCAAGCGUUGUCCGGAAUUACUGGGCGUAAAGCGCACGUAGGCGGAUUUGUAAGUCAGGGGUGAAAGUCCCGGGGCUCAACCUGGGAACUGCAUUUGUGACUGCAUGGCUAGAGUUUGGCAGAGGGGGUAGAAUUCCACGGUGUAGCAGUGAAAUGCGUAGAUAUGUGGAGGAACACCGAUGGCGAAGGCAGCCCCCUGGGUCAAGACUGACGCUCG
RNAcentral lists this ribosomal RNA (227 nucleotides) under uncultured bacterium. RNAcentral's name for it is "partial 16S ribosomal RNA". It matches the Rfam family "Bacterial small subunit ribosomal RNA", at positions 524 to 749 of the family's 1533-position model. The record is from RNAcentral.